This 382-nucleotide unclassified non-coding RNA is filed under the name uncultured bacterium. RNAcentral's name for it is "contains 16S-23S intergenic spacer region". The record is from RNAcentral.
UCCGUUUUAUCAACGGCAGUCUCAACCGAGUGCCCGGCCGAACCGCUGGCAACAGUUGACAAGGGUUGCGCUCGUUGCGGGACUUAACCCAACAUCUCACGACACGAGCUGACGACAGCCAUGCAGCACCUUGCAUCCUGCUUGGUGUUACCCAAGAGACCCCAUCUCUGGGGCUGUCAGGAGCAUUCUAGCCUAGGUAAGGUUCUUCGCGUUGCGUCGAAUUAAACCACAUGCUCCACCGCUUGUGCGGGUCCCCGUCAAUUCCUUUGAGUUUUAGCCUUGCGGCCGUACUCCCCAGGCGGGACACUUAUCGCGUUGGCUUCGGCACGGACAGAUUCGACUCCGCCCACACCUAGUGUCCAUCGUUUACGGCGUGGACUAC